This 73-nucleotide transfer RNA is filed under the name Thermoplasmata archaeon. RNAcentral's name for it is "tRNA-Gly". It matches the Rfam family "tRNA". Rfam says of the family: Transfer RNA (tRNA) molecules are approximately 80 nucleotides in length. Lineage: Archaea; Methanobacteriati; Thermoplasmatota; Thermoplasmata. The record is from RNAcentral.
GCGGGUGUGGUGUAGCCUGGUAUCACACAAGCUUGCCAAGCUUGUUACUCGGGUUCAAAUCCCGACAUCCGCA